Molecule: ribosomal RNA, 468 nt
Filed under: uncultured bacterium
Lineage: Bacteria
Description: partial 16S ribosomal RNA
Rfam family: Bacterial small subunit ribosomal RNA
Source: RNAcentral
GACGAACGCUGGCGGCGUGCUUAACACAUGCAAGUCGAACGGAAAGGCCCUGCUUUUGUGGGGUGCUCGAGUGGCGAACGGGUGAGUAACACGUGAGUAACCUGCCCUUGACUUUGGGAUAACUUCAGGAAACUGGGGCUAAUACCGGAUAGGAGCUCCUGCUGCAUGGUGGGGGUUGGAAAGUUUCGGCGGUUGGAGAUGGACUCGCGGCUUAUCAGCUUGUUGGUGGGGUAGUGGCUUACCAAGGCUUUGACGGGUAGCCGGCCUGAGAGGGUGACCGGCCACAUUGGGACUGAGAUACGGCCCAGACUCCUACGGAAGGCAGCAGUGGGGAAUAUUGCACAAUGGGCGGAAGCCUGAUGCAGCAACGCCGCGUGCGGGAUGACGGCCUUCGGGUUGUAAACCGCUUUCGCCUGUGACGAAGCGUGAGUGACGGUAAUGGGUAAAGAAGCACCGGCUAACUACGUG